GUGUAGAAGAAGAAGAAGAAACGC
This 24-nucleotide small RNA is filed under the name Arabidopsis thaliana (thale cress). Its description in RNAcentral is "ATSL237940". The record is from RNAcentral. Lineage: Eukaryota; Viridiplantae; Streptophyta; Magnoliopsida; Brassicales; Brassicaceae.